CGAACGGGUGAGUAACGCGUGAGGAACCUGCCUCAAAGAGGGGGACAACAGUUGGAAACGACUGCUAAUACCGCAUAAGCCCACAGGUCGGCAUCGACCAGAGGGAAAAGGAGCAAUCCGCUUUGAGAUGGCCUCGCGUCCGAUUAACUAGUUGGUGAGGUAAUGGCCCACCAAGGCAACGAUCGGUAGCCGGACUGAGAGGUUGAACGGCCACAUUGGGACUGAGACACGGCCCAG
Molecule: ribosomal RNA, 237 nt
Filed under: uncultured bacterium
Lineage: Bacteria
Description: partial 16S ribosomal RNA
Rfam family: Bacterial small subunit ribosomal RNA
Source: RNAcentral